AAAUGAAUUGACGGGAGCCCGCACAAGCAGUGGAGUAUGUGGUUUAAUUCGACGCAACGCGAAGAACCUUACCAGGACUUGACAUCCGAAGAAGUCGGCAGAAAAGCCGAUGUGCCCCUCGGGGAGCUUCGAGACAGGUGGUGCAUGGUUGUCGUCAGCUCGUGUCGUGAGAUGUUGGGUUAAGUCCCGCAACGAGCGCAACCCUUACGGUCAGUUGCUACAUUAAGUUGAGAACUUUGGCCGGACUGCCGUUGACAAAACGGAGGAAGGUGGGGAUGACGUCAAAUCAUCAUGCCCCUUACGUUCUGGGCUACACACGUACUACAAUGGCGAAAACAAAGGGAAGCGAAGUCGCGAGGCGGAGCAAACCCCAUAAAAGUCGCCUCAGUUCAGACUGCAGGCUGAAACCCGCCUGCACGAAGUUGGAAUUGCUAGUAAUCGCGGAUCAGCAUGCCGCGGUGAAUACGUUCCCGGGCUUUGUACACACCGCCCGU
RNAcentral lists this ribosomal RNA (494 nucleotides) under uncultured bacterium. Its description in RNAcentral is "bacterial SSU rRNA". It matches the Rfam family "Bacterial small subunit ribosomal RNA", at positions 903 to 1397 of the family's 1533-position model. The record is from RNAcentral.